Non-coding RNA from Rattus norvegicus (Norway rat), 1738 nucleotides. The record is from RefSeq and is a predicted model, not a curated record. Lineage: Eukaryota; Metazoa; Chordata; Mammalia; Rodentia; Muridae.
GGGACCCCACGUCAUGCCAAACAACAGAACCUUAUUACCUAACAGUUCUGAAAUGUAGAUGUUGGUUGAGCGGGACCCCACGUCAUGCCAAACAACAGAACCUUAUUACCUAACAGUUCUGAAAUGUAGAUGUUGGUUGAGCGGGACCCCAUUUGAAGCCCCAAGGAGUGGGUGAACUUCCCGUGUAUCUUCAGCAGUCCCUUGGCUUAUGGUUCUGGCUCCUGCCCCUGCCUUUCUUUCUCCUGGAUCUUUAUUAAUAUGGAAGAAUUGAGAGAAGCUGAGUUUCUCCGUGAAAUCCAACCUCUGUGAAAAUCCAGCACUCUUUGCAUGCAUAGUCGCCGAUCUGCCACGGCUGCCCACAAGCAUCCCAGGGUGAAAAAUCUCUCAGUCUAUUAACAGAGACAGAAAGGAACCUGUUCAAAAGCACUGUGCAUGACUGCUUGGAGAGGAAAGAGCUCAUUUAUCACGUUGCCCCAGGAGGUCACAGUGAUUGUCACAGCAUACCCAGACUGGCUCAACCUCAAGCAAGACAACAUCCCAGCGUGGGAAGGGGAGGUAGGUUGGCAUGAGACCACCACCAGCGGAGGAGCCAUUAGCAAUUGGUAGCUACUAUGAGAGGAAGGACCAGUUUCCUUCAAUGAUGUGAUUCUUGGUCCAGGCAAGAAGGUAGGGAUGAGGAUGCUCAACAAAGAGAGUAUUCGGCUAAAGACACAUUGACAGCCAAGGUCAGCACCUACUUUUUUUUCUAGCUUCCUCUGGAGAAGGCUCAAAACCAAGUGCCCAAAAUUUUUGGGAAGAAACCCAGGUGCCAGCUCAAGAUGAUGGGGAAGAAGCAGGAUUCUGCUGGAGUUGACACUGCUGUACUACACAGACCUCAUCUGAUGUCCUGCCUGAUGGCUUCAGUGCAGGCAAACUACUUGUUCAGCCAUGAAGUUUGCCUGGCCCAUCUUUCACUAUUUCCGGCACAUAGGUUUGGAGGUUCCUUUUAAAAACUGGACUGUGUGUGUUUUACCGAUGCUUUCCAUGUCUACUUCUAAAGCUCAUGUUAUCUCCCUCUAGUUGGUUAUGGCCUGUGCAUCAGUCAUUACACUCCUUCUAGAUCUGCCAUAGAACAAACAAAUUUGGGGGAAAUGUAACUGGAAAUCAACACUUGGUGAUUGAGGGAAGCUUUGAAGUAUUUCAAACUCACCCAAAUGAUGACCCGAGCAUUGAGAGCACUUGUGUUCAACCUUUAUUAAAUCUUUCAACUCUGUAUUAUUUACCUGCUGGUAACCUCAGAGCUUGAACAAAUAUACAGGACAUCUAUUGAUACUAAAAACAUUCCAGAAUCAAGCAGCAGGAGGCUGUCAGGCAAUGUUCUUCUUUCUGCCUCAUCAUCUGAAGGCAACUGUUCUUUUUGAGGUUUAGGAAAGUCUGAACCAAGUGAGCAGGUUACAGAGAAUGCCGGGAAGAUGGAGAGAGGACCUCUGUGGGCAUCAGGAGGGAUGUGGCAAAGGAAUUUCCCUUUAAGAGCAGAGGUUGGGAAUUUCCACAUGAGUUCACAGAUUUCUAGACUGAUUAGUAUCUUUAAAUUAGUCUCUAGAGAGGUUGCAACCCAGAAGUGUGUGAGCAUCCCUGUCUCACAACCUCACCUUCAUGUACUCCGUGCUCUCAAGCCUUCUGGUCUGUUUUCUAUCAAGCACUAAUUUCAGGUAUUACCAAAAAGUCUGAUCUCCAAUAAAACCUAUGACCUUCUGAA